UUAAGCGACUAAGCGUACACGGUGGAUGCCCUGGCAGUCAGAGGCGAUGAAGGACGUGCUAAUCUGCGAUAAGCGUCGGUGAGGUGAUAUGAACCGUUAUAACCGGCGAUUUCCGAAUGGGGAAACCCAGUGUGUUUCGACACACUAUCAUUAACUGAAUCCAUAGGUUAAUGAGGCGAACCGGGGGAACUGAAACAUCUAAGUACCCCGAGGAAAAGAAAUCAACCGAGAUUCCCCCAGUAGCGGCGAGCGAACGGGGAGGAGCCCAGAGCCUGAAUCAGUGUGUGUGUUAGUGGAAGCGUCUGGAAAGGCGCGCGAUACAGGGUGACAGCCCCGUACACAAAAAUGCACAUAUUGUGAGCUCGAUGAGUAGGGCGGGACACGUGGUAUCCUGUCUGAAUAUGGGGGGACCAUCCUCCAAGGCUAAAUACUCCUGACUGACCGAUAGUGAACCAGUACCGUGAGGGAAAGGCGAAAAGAACCCCGGCGAGGGGAGUGAAAAGAACCUGAAACCGUGUACGUACAAGCAGUGGGAGCCUCUUAAUGGGGUGACUGCGUACCUUUGUAUAAUGGGUCAGCGACUUAUAUUCUGUAGCAAGGUUAACCGAAUAGGGAGCCGAAGGGAAACCGAGUCUUAACUGGGCGUUAAGUUGCAGGGUAUAGACCCGAAACCCGGUGAUCUAGCCAUGGGCAGGUUGAAGGUUGGGUAACACUAACUGGAGGACCGAACCGACUAAUGUUGAAAAAUUAGCGGAUGACUUGUGGCUGGGGGUGAAAGGCCAAUCAAACCGGGAGAUAGCUGGUUCUCCCCGAAAGCUAUUUAGGUAGCGCCUCGUGAAUUCAUCUCCGGGGGUAGAGCACUGUUUCGGCAAGGGGGUCAUCCCGACUUACCAACCCGAUGCAAACUGCGAAUACCGGAGAAUGUUAUCACGGGAGACACACGGCGGGUGCUAACGUCCGUCGUGAAGAGGGAAACAACCCAGACCGCCAGCUAAGGUCCCAAAGUCAUGGUUAAGUGGGAAACGAUGUGGGAAGGCCCAGACAGCGGGAUGUUGGCUUAGAAGCAGCCAUCAUUUAAAGAAAGCGUAAUAGCUCACUGGUCGAGUCGGCCUGCGCGGAAGAUGUAACGGGGCUAAACCAUGCACCGAAGCUGCGGCAGCGACACUAUGUGUUGUUGGGUAGGGGAGCGUUCUGUAAGCCUGUGAAGGUGGCCUGUGAGGGUUGCUGGAGGUAUCAGAAGUGCGAAUGCUGACAUAAGUAACGAUAAAGCGGGUGAAAAGCCCGCUCGCCGGAAGACCAAGGGUUCCUGUCCAACGUUAAUCGGGGCAGGGUGAGUCGACCCCUAAGGCGAGGCCGAAAGGCGUAGUCGAUGGGAAACAGGUUAAUAUUCCUGUACUUGGUGUUACUGCGAAGGGGGGACGGAGAAGGCUAUGUUGGCCGGGCGACGGUUGUCCCGGUUUAAGCGUGUAGGCUGGUUUUCCAGGCAAAUCCGGAAAAUCAAGGCUGAGGCGUGAUGACGAGGCACUACGGUGCUGAAGCGACAAAUGCCCUGCUUCCGUGAAAAGCCUCUAAGCAUCAGGUAACAUCAAAUCGUACCCCAAACCGACACAGGUGGUCAGGUAGAGAAUACCAAGGCGCUUGAGAGAACUCGGGUGAAGGAACUAGGCAAAAUGGUGCCGUAACUUCGGGAGAAGGCACGCUGAUAUGUAGGUGAAGCGACUUGCUCGUGGAGCUGAAAUCAGUCGAAGAUACCAGCUGGCUGCAACUGUUUAUUAAAAACACAGCACUGUGCAAACACGAAAGUGGACGUAUACGGUGUGACGCCUGCCCGGUGCCGGAAGGUUAAUUGAUGGGGUUAGCGGUAACGCGAAGCUCUUGAUCGAAGCCCCGGUAAACGGCGGCCGUAACUAUAACGGUCCUAAGGUAGCGAAAUUCCUUGUCGGGUAAGUUCCGACCUGCACGAAUGGCGUAAUGAUGGCCAGGCUGUCUCCACCCGAGACUCAGUGAAAUUGAACUCGCUGUGAAGAUGCAGUGUACCCGCGGCAAGACGGAAAGACCCCGUGAACCUUUACUAUAGCUUGACACUGAACAUUGAGCCUUGAUGUGUAGGAUAGGUGGGAGGCUUUGAAGUGUGGACGCCAGUCUGCAUGGAGCCGACCUUGAAAUACCACCCUUUAAUGUUUGAUGUUCUAACGUGGGCCCCUUACCGGGGUUGCGGACAGUGUCUGGUGGGUAGUUUGACUGGGGCGGUCUCCUCCUAAAGAGUAACGGAGGAGCACGAAGGUUGGCUAAUCCUGGUCGGACAUCAGGAGGUUAGUGCAAUGGCAUAAGCCAGCUUGACUGCGAGCGUGACGGCGCGAGCAGGUGCGAAAGCAGGUCAUAGUGAUCCGGUGGUUCUGAAUGGAAGGGCCAUCGCUCAACGGAUAAAAGGUACUCCGGGGAUAACAGGCUGAUACCGCCCAAGAGUUCAUAUCGACGGCGGUGUUUGGCACCUCGAUGUCGGCUCAUCACAUCCUGGGGCUGAAGUAGGUCCCAAGGGUAUGGCUGUUCGCCAUUUAAAGUGGUACGCGAGCUGGGUUUAGAACGUCGUGAGACAGUUCGGUCCCUAUCUGCCGUGGGCGCUGGAGAACUGAGGGGGGCUGCUCCUAGUACGAGAGGACCGGAGUGGACGCAUCACUGGUGUUCGGGUUGUCAUGCCAAUGGCACUGCCCGGUAGCUAAAUGCGGAAGAGAUAAGUGCUGAAAGCAUCUAAGCACGAAACUUGCCCCGAGAUGAGUUCUCCCUGACUCCUUGAGAGUCCUGAAGGAACGUUGAAGACGACGACGUUGAUAGGCCGGGUGUGUAAGCGCAGCGAUGCGUUGAGCUAACCGGUACUAAUGAACCGUGAGGCUUAACCU
RNAcentral lists this ribosomal RNA (2897 nucleotides) under Escherichia coli. RNAcentral describes it as "23S ribosomal RNA". It matches the Rfam family "Bacterial large subunit ribosomal RNA". The record is from RNAcentral. Lineage: Bacteria; Pseudomonadati; Pseudomonadota; Gammaproteobacteria; Enterobacterales; Enterobacteriaceae.